GAUGAAGAACGCAGCGAAAUGCGAUAAGUAAUGUGAAUUGCAGAAUUCAGUGAAUCAUCGAGUCUUUGAACGCACAUUGCGCCCCCUGGUAUUCCGGGGGGCAUGCCUGUCCGAGCGUCAUUGCUGCCCUCAAGCACGGCUUGUGUGUUGGGCCCCGCCCCCCGGCUCCCGGGGGGCGGGCCCGAAAGGCAGCGGCGGCACCGCGUCCGGUCCUCGAGCGUAUGGGGCUUCGUCACCCGCUCCGUAGGCCCGGCCGGCGCCCGCCGGCGACCCCCCUCAAUCUUUUCAGGUUGACCUCGGAUCAGGUAGGGAUACCCGCUGAACUUAAGCAUAUCAAUCGGAGGA
This 345-nucleotide unclassified non-coding RNA is filed under the name soil metagenome. Its description in RNAcentral is "partial contains 5.8S ribosomal RNA, internal transcribed spacer 2, and large subunit ribosomal RNA". The stretch from base 1 to 120 matches the Rfam family "5.8S ribosomal RNA", at positions 35 to 154 of the family's 154-position model. The record is from RNAcentral.